This 253-nucleotide ribosomal RNA is filed under the name uncultured bacterium. RNAcentral's name for it is "partial 16S ribosomal RNA". It matches the Rfam family "Bacterial small subunit ribosomal RNA", at positions 524 to 776 of the family's 1533-position model. The record is from RNAcentral.
UACGUAGGGGGCAAGCGUUGUCCGGAUUUAUUGGGCGUAAAGAGCGUGUAGGCGGUCAGGUAGGUCAGUUGUGAAAACUGGAGGCUCAACCUUCAGAGGUCGACCGAAACCCCCUGGCUAGAGUCCGGGAGAGGAGAGUGGAAUUCCUGGUGUAGCGGUGAAAUGCGCAGAUAUCAGGAAGAACACCCGUGGCGAAAGCGGCUCUCUGGAACGGUACUGACGUUGAGACGCGAAAGCGUGGGGAGCGAACAGG